RNAcentral lists this ribosomal RNA (122 nucleotides) under Candidatus Poribacteria bacterium. Lineage: Bacteria; Candidatus Poribacteria. The record is from RNAcentral.
GCUGGCGGCCAUACCGCGACUAAUCCACCGGAUCUCUUUCGAACUCCGAAGUUAACCGUCGCAGGGCCCGGUCAGUACUGGGGUGGGGGACCGCCUGGGAAGCCCUUCGGGUGCUGCCAGCU